Molecule: long non-coding RNA, 507 nt
Filed under: Homo sapiens (human)
Lineage: Eukaryota; Metazoa; Chordata; Mammalia; Primates; Hominidae
Description: non-protein coding lnc-RPL7-3:2
Source: RNAcentral
AUUUAUAAAUAAUAAAUCUUAAACUGUUGAUAAACCAAACUCUGAAGUAUUUUUAAAGAGGUUUAUUCUAAGCCAAUGAGUGACCAUAGCCCAAGGAGCAGUCUCAAGAGGUCCUGAGAAAGUGUGCACUGGGUGUUGGAGUUACAUUUUAGUUAUUGCCACAAAUAACAUGUUUCAUCAGUCUUAUGACCUCUAUUUCAAUGUUAAUGUUGGUUAGUUAUGCCUAAAAUGACUGCGCAUAUCCAACCUCCCUUUCUGUCAUGGCUGGGAAUUCAGUUUUUCAGGUUUCUCCAUCAAAAUCAAGGUCCUAUGACAUUGUGUAUUGGAAUUUUUCAGGCCACGUUUGUAGAAACGCACUGCUUUGUUCUAGCAGAAAGAGUUUACCCAGUCAGUUCUGAAGAUUUGUGUGUUACAGACACAAUGAAUGGAAUGGGAAGCAGCAAAUGCUGAUGUAGAAGCUGCAGCAAGUUAUCCAGAAGAUCUGGCUAAGAUCAUUGAAGACUGUAG